RNAcentral lists this ribosomal RNA (253 nucleotides) under uncultured bacterium. RNAcentral's name for it is "partial 16S ribosomal RNA". It matches the Rfam family "Bacterial small subunit ribosomal RNA", at positions 524 to 776 of the family's 1533-position model. The record is from RNAcentral.
AACGUAGGAGACAAACGUUAUCCGGAGUUACUGGGCGUAAAGGGCGUGCAGGUGGUCUGUUAAGUCUGGCGUGAAAGCUCCUGGCUAAACCGGGAGAGGUCGUUGGAUACUGGCGGACUAGAGGACGGUAGAGGCGUGUGGAAUUCCGGGUGUGGUGGUGAAAUGCGUAGAGAUCCGGAGGAACACCAGUGGCGAAGGCGACACGCUGGGCCGUACCUGACACUGAUACGCGACAGCAUGGGGAGCGAACGGG